RNAcentral lists this transfer RNA (75 nucleotides) under Nitrosopumilaceae archaeon. RNAcentral describes it as "tRNA-Arg". It matches the Rfam family "tRNA". From Rfam's summary of the family: Transfer RNA (tRNA) molecules are approximately 80 nucleotides in length. Their secondary structure includes four short double-helical elements and three loops (D, anti-codon, and T loops). Further hydrogen bonds mediate the characteristic L-shaped molecular structure. tRNAs have two regions of fundamental functional importance: the anti-codon, which is responsible for specific mRNA codon recognition, and the 3' end, to which the tRNAs corresponding amino acid is attached (by aminoacyl-tRNA synthetases). tRNAs cope with the degeneracy of the genetic code in two manners: having more than one tRNA (with a specific anti-codon) for a particular amino acid; and 'wobble' base-pairing, i.e. permitting non-standard base-pairing at the 3rd anti-codon position. The record is from RNAcentral. Lineage: Archaea; Thermoproteati; Nitrososphaerota; Nitrososphaeria; Nitrosopumilales; Nitrosopumilaceae.
GGGUUUGUUGCAUAGCAUGGAUAGUGCAAUUGCUUGCGGAGCAUUAGGUCGAGGGUUCAAAUCCCUUCAAGCCCA